UUGAAUAUAUUAAAAAUAGGUUUAAUAGAUAUUGUAAUAUCUAUUAAUUAAAAGGGAAGUGGGUUUGAAUCCCACGCGGUCCCGCCACUGUAAUAGAUGAGUUCCUGCAAUUAUGCCACUGGGAAACUGGGAAGGCUGUAGGAAUGUUGAUACUUAAGCCAGAAGACCUGCCUGUUUUAGUAUACUAAU
RNAcentral lists this non-coding RNA (189 nucleotides) under Clostridium argentinense. Lineage: Bacteria; Bacillati; Bacillota; Clostridia; Eubacteriales; Clostridiaceae. RNAcentral also lists the same sequence under 1 other name. The record is from RNAcentral.